This is a long non-coding RNA of Culex pipiens pallens (northern house mosquito), 360 nucleotides long. RefSeq lists it as uncharacterized. The transcript is spliced from 3 exons. NCBI's taxonomy places the organism in Eukaryota, Metazoa, Arthropoda, Insecta, Diptera, Culicidae. The record is from RefSeq and is a predicted model, not a curated record.
GCACCGCAGUCCGGAUUAGGCGCGCCAGACUGUAGCAGCAGCCCUGCCGAAAACUGAUGAGCUGCGUUUGGCGAGUUCCUGCGGCCGCGCGACGACUACUGGCUCGACGAAAAGAAGAAAACACAAAAAAUCUACUUGCUGCUUUGUAAAGACGUGCUCGAGAAGACUUUGCUUAAAACUUUAAUUAUCCAGCUGAAUUUCUUAAACUAUAUUUUUGAUUUUGUACUUGCUGGGAAAAGGAGAGUUUGUAAGAGUUUGAACUUGUUCGGAUUGAACGGAAUAGGAGAUAAACCAUUAAUUUUUGAGCUGCACCAACAACAAUUUGAGUCUGCUUCAAGAACCGGUUUCAAUCUCGUCCGA